RNAcentral lists this transfer RNA (81 nucleotides) under Pseudanabaenococcus habilitatus PCC 7502. Its description in RNAcentral is "tRNA-Leu (TAG) (tRNA-Leu-TAG-1-1)". It matches the Rfam family "tRNA". Rfam says of the family: Transfer RNA (tRNA) molecules are approximately 80 nucleotides in length. Their secondary structure includes four short double-helical elements and three loops (D, anti-codon, and T loops). Lineage: Bacteria; Bacillati; Cyanobacteriota; Cyanophyceae; Pseudanabaenales; Pseudanabaenaceae. The record is from Rfam by way of RNAcentral.
GCGGAUGUGGCGGAAUUGGUAGACGCGCUAGAUUUAGGUUCUAGUGUCUUUGACGUGCUGGUUCGAUUCCAGUCAUCCGCA